CCUACGGGGGGCUGCAGUGGGGAAUAUUGGACAAUGGGGGGAACCCUGAUCCAGCCAUGCCGCGUGUGUGAAGAAGGCCCUCGGGUUGUAAAGCACUUUCAGUGAGGAAGAACGCCUGGUGGUUAAUACCCAUCAGGAAAGACAUCACUCACAGAAGAAGCACCGGCUAACUCCGUGCCAGCAGCCGCGGUAAUACGGAGGGUGCGAGCGUUAAUCGGAAUGACUGGGCGUAAAGCGCGCGUAGGUGGCUUGAUAAGCCGGUUGUGAAAGCCCCGGGCUCAACCUGGGAACGGCAUCCGGAACUGUCCAGCUAGAGUGCAGGAGAGGAAGGUAGAAUUCCCGGUGUAGCGGUGAAAUGCGUAGAGAUCGGGAGGAAUACCAGUGGCGAAGGCGGCCUUCUGGACUGACACUGACACUGAGGUGCGAAAGCGUGGGUAGCAAACAGGAUUAGAUACCCGAGUAGUC
Molecule: ribosomal RNA, 465 nt
Filed under: Vreelandella stevensii
Lineage: Bacteria; Pseudomonadati; Pseudomonadota; Gammaproteobacteria; Oceanospirillales; Halomonadaceae
Description: partial 16S ribosomal RNA
Rfam family: Bacterial small subunit ribosomal RNA
Source: RNAcentral